This 240-nucleotide unclassified non-coding RNA is filed under the name plant metagenome. RNAcentral describes it as "partial contains small subunit ribosomal RNA, internal transcribed spacer 1, and 5.8S ribosomal RNA". The record is from RNAcentral.
UUUCCGUAGGUGAACCUGCGGAAGGAUCAUUACCGAGUGAGGGUCUCUCAGGCCCGACCUCCCACCCUGUGUUUUUGUGACCUUGUUGCUUUGGCGGGCCCGCCUCGAUGAGAGGCCGCCGGAAGCUCACCGCUUUGGGCCCGUGCCCGCCAGUAGCCCCCUUAAAUUCUUAAUAAACCUGUCGUCUGAGUCCAUGGAUAUAAUGAAAAAAAACUUUCAACAACGGAUCUCUUGGUUCUG